Cryptomeria japonica (Japanese cedar) is the source of this 2197-nucleotide long non-coding RNA. RefSeq lists it as uncharacterized. Lineage: Eukaryota; Viridiplantae; Streptophyta; Pinopsida; Cupressales; Cupressaceae. The record is from RefSeq and is a predicted model, not a curated record. The transcript has 10 exons.
UCAAAACCCGUACAGGUUUUGAGAAACAUAUUUCUUUUGUUUAGGCCAUGGGUUUUGGCCAUUUUCAACACCAAAACCCGUGGAACAACAGCAAGGAGAAGCCAAAAAAAGCAUCGAACCCGCACGGGUUUGCAACAAUUUUUUAUUUUCCCAUCAUCAAAAGCAAUUUUCAACAAUGGCACCCCGUCGAACAGGUAAGAUUUGAUUUGUUUGAUUAUUUUUCUUUGCAUCUUAAUUAAAUUAGGGGUUUUUAAUUGAUUUAAGUUUUGUUUUUAUUAAUUUGAUGUCAGAUUCUUCAAGCAAUCCCCAAAAAUGAAAUAGACAACAAAGACCUCCUCUUACACAAGCAACACAAGAAAACCCUGUUAACAUUGCACAAGAGAAACAAGAAAACCCUCAAAAUCCUGAAAAUAUUGCUCCUCAACAACCACCACCACCCCGAAACCCUCCACAUCCUCCAUUAGAUCAUGUAGAUACCACACGAGGAUCUCAUCAAUCGCCUUACACAAAAUAGUGCCCAAAUUUCUAUAUUGGUGAAUAGGUUGAGGACCUCUAAGCUUGAGCACCACUCAACCCUUGCCAGAACACUAGAAACAAUGGCUAAUAGUGCAAAUAAGGUAUCUAGGGAGGUUACGAAAUGGGGUUCAUGGAGGGAUAGAUGUCGAACAUUUUAUGCGGAAGGGUUGUCAUAUGAUCAAGUGAAGAAAAAGGGCAUAGUUAAAUCUGACAUAUGUGCUCUUUUCACCGAUCCUAUUACCAGUAACAACCUAGAACUAAAUACGACUCGGUUUCCUAUACAUUGGUGUGUUCAUGCUAGGUUGAAAGAUGCUUUUUGGGAUAGGUGGUAUAUGGUCUUUGACUAACCACCUUGUAAUAAUUGGGAGGUGCCUCUAUAUUUUUUGAGAAAGUUGUAUUGUGAGUUUAUCCUCGACGAGAAGCCGAAUUACUUUGACAUCUGACAAUUUCAGGGUAGAGGGAGAGGCUCUGCGCAGGAUAGACCUGGGGCCCAUAGGGUGGUAGAUCCACAACAUAGGAGGUGUACAACUCCUAAACCCAUGGUUCAUGUCACUAUCCCUAUAUCCUUGAAGGUGUCUAUGGAAUUACAAACUCUUUAGGCAGCUGCAUCAUUAACUGAUGUCAUUGUUCAGCAUGGGACACAACUGGUCAAAGUAGAGGAUGUACCAGCACCUACAACAUCUCCUUCAUCAGCGACACCUCCUUCAUCAGCAGCACCUCAUGCAUCAUUUGGCACGAGCCAACCCAUUCAGCAUAUGUGCCCCACCUGCCAGGGUGUAUGUUCUGGUGUAGACACUGACGCGGACGAGGAUGGUGGGACAUCUCAUUCAUGUACAUGUUGCGGGAGUAGAUGCCAUGCUUCCACUGCAGAGGAUGUGGCCCUCACCGAUGAACUGCUCAAUAUGUUGUACCCUCUCUAUCAGACACAGGGUGCAAUAGGUGGUGGGAGUACACCACAUACUGUUCAGUCGACUCCACGAUCACGAGUAGUUUCACCACCAGAGGGCUUAUCAGUGGUUGAGAUGUCCCAACUUGAUGAUAUCACGCUUUCAGCCAUUGACUUUGGCCAAGAUAGCUAUGCGUUUACCCCAUCUGCCUCGAGGACAUCUCGUGUAAGAAAGCCAUCCUCUAGCACUCCAAGGCAAAAAAAGAUAUCCUCUCGAAACCCAAACGACAGAAGAAACAUAUGGGGUUUACGGAAUUAAUGAAUGCACCUGAUGUCGAUGAGGUUCAGCAGAGGGAAGAGGAAAUGGUAAUAGCUACAUCAGAUUCGACAAGGCCUCCUAAGGUUACAGGAGAACUAUACGAGGCUUCGGCCCCUUGCAAACUUCCUACUGUUAUUCUACCAUUCCAUUUCAGUAGAAGUUCUACACGUAUAUUUUGGGAUCCAACAUGACCAAGGCAAAAGGAAAUGGUCGUAACUGAUUCAUCUGUGACUUUGCUUUCUACGACCACAACACAUCCAUCUGAGGCUCCGUUAUAGCCUCCUGUAGGACAUCCCAUAGAUCCUCAACCUCACCGAAUUGCAAAAGACAGAGAUGAGCCACGUACUGCUUCGAAGAGGCUCGAUUUUGAUGAUCCGCCACAGUCAUAGAUACGGAUAGAGACAUAUAGUUAUAGUUGUGGUCAUUGAAGGGCCAAUUUUUUAUAUAUUCGACAUUUGUAUAUGUAUAUAUCGACU